RNAcentral lists this ribosomal RNA (231 nucleotides) under uncultured bacterium. RNAcentral's name for it is "partial 16S ribosomal RNA". It matches the Rfam family "Bacterial small subunit ribosomal RNA", at positions 524 to 752 of the family's 1533-position model. The record is from RNAcentral.
UACGUAGGGGGCAAGCGUUGUCCGGAUUUAUUGGGCGUAAAGCGCUCGCAGGUGGUUCGUUGCGUCGUGCGUUGAAAGACCCCGGCUCAACUGGGGAGGGUCGUGCGAUACGGGCGGACUGGAGGCCAGUAGGGGGAGUGCGGAAUUCCGGGUGUAGUGGUGGAAUGCGUAGAGAUCCGGAGGAACACCAGCGGCGAAGGCGGCAUCCUGGACUGGUCCUGACACUCAGGA